CUACGGGACGCUGCAGUGGGGAAUUUUGCGCAAUGGGGGGAACUCUGACGCAGCAAUACCGCGUGAGUGAAGAAGGCCUUUGGGUCGUAAAGCUCUUUUCUGAAGGAAGAUAGUGACGGUACUUCAGGAAUAAGCACCGGCUAACUCCGUGCCAGCAGCCGCGGUAAUACGGAGGGUGCGAGCGUUGUUCGGAUUUACUGGGCGUAAAGGGCACGUAGGCGGCCUGGCAAGUUAAGGGUGAAAUCCCGGGGCUUAACUCCGGAACUGCUCUUAAAACUGCCAAGCUAGAGAUAGUCAGAGGCGGGUGGAAUUCCUGGUGUAGAGGUGAAAUUCGUAGAUAUCAGGAGGAACACCGGUGGCGAAGGCGGCCCGCUGGGGCUAUUCUGACGCUAAGGUGCGAAAGCGUGGGGAGCGAACGGGAUUAGAUACCCCGGUAGUC
This 439-nucleotide ribosomal RNA is filed under the name uncultured bacterium. RNAcentral describes it as "partial 16S ribosomal RNA". It matches the Rfam family "Bacterial small subunit ribosomal RNA", at positions 339 to 795 of the family's 1533-position model. The record is from RNAcentral.